This 460-nucleotide ribosomal RNA is filed under the name uncultured bacterium. RNAcentral's name for it is "partial 16S ribosomal RNA". It matches the Rfam family "Bacterial small subunit ribosomal RNA", at positions 338 to 795 of the family's 1533-position model. The record is from RNAcentral.
CCUACGGGAGGCAGCAGUGAGGAAUAUUGGUCAAUGGGCGCGAGCCUGAACCAGCCAAGUAGCGUGAAGGAUGACUGCCCUACGGGUUGUAAACUUCUUUUAUAAAGGAAUAAAGUGAGGCACGUGUGCCUUUUUGUAUGUACUUUAUGAAUAAGGAUCGGCUAACUCCGUGCCAGCAGCCGCGGUAAUACGGAGGAUCCGAGCGUUAUCCGGAUUUAUUGGGUUUAAAGGGAGCGUAGAUGGGUUGUUAAGUCAGUUGUGAAAGUUUGCGGCUCAACAGUAAAAUUGCAAUUGAUACUGGAAGACUUGAGUACAGUUGAGGUAGGCGGAAUUCGUGGUGUAGCGGUGAAAUGCUUAGAGAUCACGAAGAACACCGAUUGCGAAGGCAGCUUACUAAACUGCCACUGACAUUGAGGCUCGAAAGUGUGGGUAGCAAACAGGAUUAGAUACCCGAGUAGUC